Molecule: transfer RNA, 110 nt
Filed under: Macrophomina phaseolina
Lineage: Eukaryota; Fungi; Ascomycota; Dothideomycetes; Botryosphaeriales; Botryosphaeriaceae
Also listed under: 1 other name
Description: tRNA-Met
Source: RNAcentral
GUCUCUGUGGUCUAGUCGGUUAUGACGUCGGUCUCAUACUGCUUGCAAAGUGUGACUUCUUCGCAGAAGAAGCGAUCCGAAGGUCCGCAGUUCGAUUCUGCGUAGGGACA